UACGUAGGGCGCAAGCGUUGUCCGGAAUUAUUGGGCGUAAAGAGCUCGUAGGCGGUUUGUCGCGUCUGCUGUGAAAGACCGGGGCUCAACUCCGGUUCUGCAGUGGGUACGGGCAGACUAGAGUGCUGUAGGGGAGACUGGAAUUCCUGGUGUAGCGGUGAAAUGCGCAGAUAUCAGGAGGAACACCGAUGGCGAAGGCAGGUCUCUGGGCAUUAACUGACGCUGAGGAGCGAAAGCAUGGGGAGCGAACAGG
This 253-nucleotide ribosomal RNA is filed under the name uncultured bacterium. RNAcentral's name for it is "partial 16S ribosomal RNA". It matches the Rfam family "Bacterial small subunit ribosomal RNA", at positions 524 to 776 of the family's 1533-position model. The record is from RNAcentral.